AAACCUCGAUUUUGAUACAUACACACAUUAUCCGCCAGGGUACUACGAGCGCUAGCUUAAAACCCAAAGGACUUGGCGGUGUUUCAGAUCCACCUAGAGGAGCCUGUUCUAGAAUCGAUAGUCCCCGCUUAACCUCACCAUCCCUGGCUUCAAACCCCGCCUGUAUACCGCCGUCGUCAGCUUACCCCUUGAAGGAAUGAUAGUAAGCGAAACAGGUACCCCCUAUUACGGCAGGUCAAGGUGCAGCGCAUGAGAUGGAAAGAAAUGGGCUACAUUCUCUUCUUCACAGAGAACACGGAAGGUCCAAUGAAACUCACACCCUAAGGAGGAUUUAGCAGUAAGAAGAAAGAAAGAAAGUUCU
Molecule: ribosomal RNA, 361 nt
Filed under: Chlorophthalmus sp. WJC-2004
Lineage: Eukaryota; Metazoa; Chordata; Actinopteri; Aulopiformes; Chlorophthalmidae
Description: partial 12S ribosomal RNA
Rfam family: Bacterial small subunit ribosomal RNA
Source: RNAcentral